Molecule: non-coding RNA, 75 nt
Organism: Podarcis lilfordi (Lilford's wall lizard)
Lineage: Eukaryota; Metazoa; Chordata; Lepidosauria; Squamata; Lacertidae
Source: the annotation of a GenBank genome assembly
GCUGUGGGAUAGCUCAGUCAGUAGAGCAUGAGGCUCUUAAUCUCAAGGCCGUGGGUUUGAGCCCCACAUAGGGCA